Molecule: ribosomal RNA, 449 nt
Filed under: uncultured bacterium
Lineage: Bacteria
Description: partial 16S ribosomal RNA
Rfam family: Bacterial small subunit ribosomal RNA
Source: RNAcentral
AACGAACGCUGGCGGCAUGCCUAACACAUGCAAGUCGAACGAGAUCUUCGGGUCUAGUGGCGCACGGGUGCGUAACGCGUGGGAAUCUGCCCCUUGGUUCGGAAUAACAGUUGGAAACGACUGCUAAUACCGGAUGAUGACGAAAGUCCAAAGAUUUAUCGCCAGAGGAUGAGCCCGCGUAGGAUUAGCUAGUUGGUGUGGUAAAGGCGCACCAAGGCGACGAUCCUUAGCUGGUCUGAGAGGAUGAUCAGCCACACUGGGACUGAGACACGGCCCAGACUCCUACGGGAGGCAGCAGUGGGGAAUAUUGGACAAUGGGCGGAAGCCUGAUCCAGCAAUGCCGCGUGAGUGAUGAAGGCCUUAGGGUUGUAAAGCUCUUUUACCCGGGAUGAUAAUGACAGUACCGGGAGAAUAAGCUCCGGCUAACUCCGUGCCAGCAGCCGCCGUAA